CUGCUGCUAAGUUUUCUCUACCAGUGAAAGAAAAAAGUCUUCUCCUGCUUUCUGAUUGUGGCAGCAAAGAUUAAAUGGGGGAAUACAAGA
RNAcentral lists this small nucleolar RNA (90 nucleotides) under Neogale vison (American mink). RNAcentral's name for it is "Neovison vison (American mink) Small nucleolar RNA SNORA31 (ENSNVIG00000006331.1)". Lineage: Eukaryota; Metazoa; Chordata; Mammalia; Carnivora; Mustelidae. The record is from RNAcentral.